UUAAGAUUUCAAAAAUUACUCUCUUUACUAGAAUUUGUAUUUACCGUCUCAUAACUACGUAACAAAUAUUUUAAUAACUAUCUCAAAUUAAUAUAAAUUUAUACAUCAUAUUUAUUCAAAAAUUUAUAAUAUAAAAUUUAAAUUUUAAAAAGUAAAUUCAUUUAUUAUAUACUAUUAGAAAAAUAUCUGUCAUAUUCUAACUCAAAUUUAAAUAAUUGUUGUCGAUAAAUUUAUAUAUAGUGUAGAUAUAUAGAUAUAUGUUGAAUAUUUUUCUAUACUUCUUAAUUCUGAUAAAUCCAAAAUUUAAAUAUAUUUUAAACUAAAAGAAUUAAAAUUAAAAAACUAAUAUAAUAAUAAAAUAUUAGUAGAUAGAAUAGAGAUAAUAUAUAAAUAUUUAUCUUAAAAAAUAUUGAAUGAUAAAAAUAUUUAAUAAACAAGUAAAAUAUUAAUAGUUGGAGAAAAAAGAAGAACUAAAAGUUUGUUUUGUUAUGCAUAAGAAAAAAUAUUAAUAUAAAAUAUUUAAUACUUAAAAAUAUUAAUAUAAUAAUAAAAUAUUGAAUGAUAAAAAUAUUUAAUAAAAAUAAAAUAUUAAUUUUUGGAGGAAAAAAGAGAAAUUAAAAAUUUAUUUCGUUACGUUAUUUAGCGAAAUUUAAAAUAUAUAUUUUUUAUACAUAGAUAGUAUAGCAGUAUAGAUAUAUCCACUAUAGUUUGUCACCUACGUGCCACAUUAUUAGUGGCUCGUACAACAUCUAAACAGGUACGACUUUUACCCGUAUUUCCAGGUCUUUUUUUUUCCGUUAUUUAUUUGUUUAUAUAAUUUAUUUAUUUUUUUUUCCCUUCUCCUCAUUCGCUUCGUUUCUCUCUCUCUCCUCGCUCUCUCUCUCUCUCUCUCCUCGCCCCCUCGCCGUGGAAUCGAUGUCCUUCGCCGCCCCUUACGGCGGCGGCGACGCCUCCGCCGCCGCGCGGAAGCGCUUCUUUUGCCACCAAUGCAACCGCACCGUCCUCAUCGGCCCCUCGUCGUCGUCCUCCUCCGCCGCCGAGGGGUUCGACCUCUCGUGCCCCCACUGCGGCGGUGGCUUCAUCGAGGAGCUCAACGUCCCAAACCCUAGCCCCGAUCCCAUCCCCAGCCUCUUCUCCGACGACUCCUUUGGCCCCUACCAAUCCCCUCUCCCCUUCCUCCUCUCCGCCCUCCUCGACCUCCGCGGCCCCGGCGGCGGCGGCGGUGGCGGCGGAGGCGGCGGGGGAUUCUCCGGCGACCCCGCCACCCCCGAUCGCUCCGCCGCUCCCUCCCCCGAUCCCGAACCCUUCGACCCCGUCCACUUCCUGCAGAACUACCUCCAAACCCUAAUGGACGGCGGCGCCAACAUCCAGGUCGUCCUCGACGGCGGCGACGGUGGCGGCGGCGGCGGAGGGCUCCGCCUCGGCGGCAACUUCGGCGACUACUUCAUCGGCCCGGGGCUCGAGCAGCUGAUCGAGCAGUUGGCGGAGAACGAUCCGAACCGCUACGGUACUCCUCCCGCGGCCAAAUCCGCGGUCGAUUCCCUCCCCGAUGUGAAGAUCUCGGAGGAGGUCAUGGCGACCGACGAUGCGCAGUGCGCCGUGUGCAAGGACGCCUUCGAGGUCGGGGAGGAGGCGAAGGAGAUGCCCUGCAAACACAUCUACCACAAGGAUUGCAUAAUUCCAUGGCUGGAGCUCCAUAAUUCUUGUCCCGUGUGCCGCUACGAGCUCCCGACGGACGAUCAGGAGUAUGAGAACCGGAAAAAGGCGCCCGCCGGAGGAGGAGCAGGGAGUUCAUCUAGGGUUUCUUCAAGAGGUGGUGGUCAUCGUUCUGGCGAUGACCGUGACCCUGCCAGUGAUGGAGAGGGAGAUUCUUCUGGGGCUGUGACGAGUCCCUCGGGGAGGAGGUUCAAUAUCUCAUUGCCUUGGCCAUUCAACAGUUUUGGAUCGCAGUUUGAGGAUAGAGAUGCUGGGAAUUCUGGUGGUCAAAGUGAUGAGCAUGAGGGGAGGACUUGACCUGAGGAUGGAUUGAGGUAGUGGUCUUCGAAGAUCAUUUCUCCAUUCUUCGUUUUUAUUUUUUUCCUAAGUUAGUCCGCAAUUUAAAUAUCAAUUACUUCUUAUCUUCUUCGUCAAUGGCGUGCUGUGUGGUGAUUUAUAAUCUGAAAUUGUCCGCAAACACCGACAUGUAGAUAGUUACAACAAUUUGGAACUUAGGUCAAUAAGCUCUCAAGAGGGUGGUGCACUAUCCUACAUGAGAGUAGUGUUGAUUUCAAGAGUAUGGAUGAAGAUUUUUAUUUAGAUUUCGUAAUGCGUGUGAUUAGUUGCAUUUAGUUGUAACUAAUAAAACUGCAAGAUGUAAGUUCCAAGGGAUUCAAUUUUGACAUCUAUCCUGCGACAGACAGAUAUUGGUUAAGGUUUAAUCCUCUACUAGGAAAAUAUGACACAUGAAAACCUAGAUUCCGUGCCUGUCUAGCUCUCCAGACAUUCAAAUUCCUCUGCAACUGAAAAUCUUUAUUGCACCCUCAUUGUAGUUUGUGUUGCUAAGGUAAGAUUGGAUCGAGCUACUGAAGAGUUUUCUUUUGGUUUUGGGGUACAUCUUGAUUUUGUGAAAUCUUCAAAAACAUGCUCUUGCAUCAUAUUUCCGAAGGCUUUUCAUCUGCAUUACUAAGUUGAAAUCUUGAUAUUUUACAUACUUGUUACAUUUCUCAACCACAUCUGUAUUUGUAACCUGUAAUCCAUUGCUUUCUCUUUGCGUCAAGUUCUUUUUCUCUUUUCUUUUGCAUUUUGAUAUUGGUAUACAUCUGUAGUGAACUCCUUUUACAGUUAAAGGGUAGAUACAACAUUCCUCAUUACACCCCACAAACAAGCCCGCCCCCCACGCCACCCCACCCCAUCACCACCAACGUAUUAACCACACAUAUUAAUUUUUAGAUGGGGCUUACUAAAGAUUGUUGUGGCAGAGAAAUGCUAUUUAGAGUCUGCCCCUUUUUUCUUGAUUAGAACUAUUAGGAACGGCAAGCCGACGUGUGUGAUUUCUUAAUUGAUUCCCAAGUCUUAUCUUCUUGUCUUGUUAAUUUUUGUACAUGCCAGAUGCUAGCAAAUAACUAUCUAUUAGAUUUUAGAGGGCUAAGAGUCCUAUUAGUCUGGGAGUGAUAAUUUUGAUGUCCAGAAGCGAAGUGAUAAUUUUGAUCGGAAAUGGAUGUGAUGAACCAUGAAGAGGGUUUAUGUAACUUCCUUUUCUUAUAAAGAUGUAACAUACACUUUUAUAUACGGUAAACCAUUUAUUCAGAAAAAUUAUGACUCGCUAAAUUAGCAAUACUUAGCAUAAAAAUAGACAGUAUAUAAAUCAUGUGUUUUAUUAAUGAAAAGUACAAUGAGAUCAAUUGCUAAAUACAAUAGCACCUUUAUGAUAGACGACUCUGCGUUCAUUUUGUGAUCGUUAGCAGUUAUUGGACAGGCUAUUAGUUCUUAAUAUGGCUGUAGAGAAAAAAAUAGUGGAUUGAAGAUGUACUGAAGGUGGAUGGUGGUUAUAGUAUGAAGAGUAUGACGAGGAAUGAAGAGCCUCCCUCCAAGUUAGGGACCUACUUCUUUCCAGAAUGAGAUAGAGGGUUGUUGAGACAAUACGGUGACAUACAACACUUAUUAGAAUGCCCCAAUCCAUCAGGGUGAGACAAUCAUAAAUAGGCUGGUUUGUGCAGCAAACAAGAAUUGUUAUGGGUGAUCCAACAUAGUUAUUCAUACCUUGCAAUUGCUCGUUCAUUCAUCUAGAGUGUCUUAUCGAAAUUAAUCUAAAUCAAUAGGGAAAGAUAGAAGAACUCUAUUUUCUGCUACUUCUGCUUUCAGUAUUAUUGGUUUUUGAUUAUAGUAGUCUCUGUCUGUAUAUGCUAAAGUCCUGCCGCUAUUGAGCUUUCUGUCUACAACGAAGAAAGAUAUCAAUUGUAGUGGCCUUACAUAUAGAUCAAUUGUAGUGGCCUUGUAUGUUUUUUUAACUGGAGUUCUUUUCUUUUUCCUUAUUCAUGUCUUAGUUCUAUAUUCAAUCUUGCUAGAUUGCCUGUGCUAGUCUUGGAUCUUUCUUGCAAUGCCUUUUCUUUUCUUGCCUCUUUGAUCCUCUGUAUCUUUAUUUCUUAAAUUAUGUGUUUAAGAUCCCUGGAGUAGACGAAACUCUUUAAUGAAUCAGGCAUGAUGUGUUGCUCUGUGCCAAAUAUUUCAGAAGAAUAUGUAGGUCACUAUCUAGCUCUACAAGUUAACUUGGUCUUCGUAGUAACAGCUGCUACCUGGAAGAAUUGUUAGUCUUUACAAAACCUUUCAUUAAACUUUUCUUGUUCUGUCUGAUUGGUCGUGUUGGACCAAUUAAUCUGUGCUUCUAGGUUGUUACUAGGGUCGCCAAAUAUGAUAGGAUUUGAUCCUUAAUACAUUGUAUGGACAACAGGUUUUUUUUUUUUUUUUAACUCAAUUUCUAUCUGAUGAGUGUGCCUACAGAUGAUGGAUUAUUUGUAAUCUACUCAUCCAAACAAACAUUUUUUAGAAAAUCUCUCUUGUUUCUUUCUUCUUUACCCUAUUUUUCUUAAAUAGUAUAAGUUUGUAAGCCAACAGACAACAAUACAAACAGAGAAUACAUCCGUCAUGCUACUUCCAUCACAUAUGUUUUUUUUUUUAACAUAAUCAGCAUGAAAGAUUGUUUGUUAUAUUUUUGAUCAUGUCUCACAGAAAGAAUACAGAUCACUGGCAAUCAUUUGGAGAGCCAAGCAUUUUCUAUUUGUUUGCCAUUCGGCCUCUAUUUUUUGCAUAAAACUUAUUUGAUAUUCGUUUUUGCUCUUUGUUUUGCUAACAAGACUAACUGCCGAACUUUUGUUUGCUUUGUAGGAUGAGUUUCUCGGUGCAUCUUUCAACGACUCUACGACGUAUACUUAUCUCUGUUUCUAUUAUACAUGUUUGAAAGAUUGAUUUCCGCAAAUUUAUUUUGUUAAGUUAUAAUCUGUUGAGAGUUAGCUUACGAAUCACCCAAACAGUGCAACUAGGAAUGGAUGGUUUCGAGCUGCGGCAGAAUUAUGUGACAGGUUGAAAUAUCAAAAAAUUAUUAGUUUAUUGGAUUUUCAUGAUAGUUCUAAAAUUCUUCAUUUUCCUCCAGUCCUAUUUUUUUUAAAAAAAAAUUUCCAUGCAGUGUCUUUUGGCUUAUGAAUUUUGAUUAUUGUACGGCGGCUUUUAGCUCCGUUGAUCAAAUUUCUUUGGCGGUGUUUGUUUCCUCAUUUUUGCUGAGUAGCAGGAAUUUGAUUCUCUUGCGAACGAAGUAUACAUGAAGUGAGGCAUUUUCAACAUUCAAUGCAUCACGCUUUGCUGCAGGAACAGCUCUACUGGCAUAAUGAAUGACAUUUACAUAUUCUGCAUUGAGUAAGGCUAGAAUGUUCCUAGUAAGUACACAGACUAUUUACUUGUGCAUCGUUUUGGGCAAAAGAUUAUACUUGAUUCACAUAUUUAAGCUUGAUUUAAACUAUUUAACCUUCUUACGCUUAAAAUUUUUGCUAUUUUGUGAUAUUAUUUGCUUAGUAUUUGAGUAGUACCCAAAUUAAUAAUUCUUAAAAGCUAAUAUAAAGUGAAUUUGAGACUAUUUGUUCACUAGUUAAACAACACUCUAAAAUUAUGAAUUUAAUUUCUGAAAAGUUUGAAUAGUUUAAAUCAUAUUUGACAACGUUGAUUGUCAAUUCGGAUUUUUCAGUCUCAAAAGGCUAUUGGAUGAGUUACAGGAGAAUUUUCUCGAUAAACGUGAAAUUCUUUGUGAUAUGCUCGGGAAAAAAAUAUAUAUAUUAUCUUGAGAUACUCUUCUCUGCCGAAAAAUGGCAGCUUGAAGGUUAUUACGCUCGUUACCCAAACUGUAAGUUGGCCGAUUAAAUCCUACCCUCCAAAAAAUUAAAAAUAAUUAUUCAGAAACGAGUUCUAUGAUCGUCUAAGGGUUGAUCACUUGUGAGAGGAAUCAACUAAACACGCUACCGACCACCGGUGAGGACUUUCAUGUGCAACCACCACCGACCCGGUUAACAAACGUUAUAAAUUCUGGUGAGGAAUUUCACGUGCAACCACCAACGACCGCGUUAACAAACGUUAUAAAUUCUUAAGCAUAAAUGUCUAUGACCAUUUUAUACCAGAAACUAGAAAGGUACGUUUCAGGAAAAAUAAAAUAAAAUAAAAUAACUAAAUUAGGACAAAAGACAACACAAUAUACAGGAAAGGCCUUGCUGAUAUAUCUCUUGAUUUAUACGUACAUCCAUAUACUACGAAAAUGUAGCUCUUUUGAUAACAUAAGUCUGGUUUCCUACCUGAUUGAGAUGGCCGCAGCUCACACCGAUAAGGGUUUCACAAGUGACAGUCCACUGGAUUUGGAUAAUUAUGAUCUUCGUCUGUGAAGCUAGAGUGUGCAAUUUGGUGGGAUUCUCUGCUAAGAAUUUCCGGUAUCAGUGACAAUAUAUAACAUCAGUUCUCUGUCCAUGUCACCUACUAGCAAGGAGGGAAUGAAUUGAAGUACCGGCACCUGCGCGUUUCCUUGCCUGGCAUAUAGGUAACAGUUCAAAGAUUUGAAUAGGUUAAAAAGAGAAGCAAAUAGUUGCCAUAUGUGAGCCUUUUUGACCCCCAAAAGAGAUACAUUUACUAAAAUGAUACCUUCUCAUUGUUGAACAGAUCCUCAGCAACAGCUUCCAUUUGCUUUCGCUUCUUCUCCUCCCUCAUGUAUUCUAUCGAUUUGUUACUCUCAUCGUCUGAUUCUCUGCAAAACGUGGUCUUAGUGAUUUGUAUCUUCAUGCUUCAAUGAAUUUGAAAGCGGAAAAACUACAAUUUGCUUACUUGUAUGGAUCUUUGGAAAACGGAAUGAGAUCUCUAAAGCUGUUGCCGGACACAGUUUCUCUCUAUAAAAUGUCAUUUAAAGAGCACAUUAUCGUGUUGCCAUUGAAGCAUGAGGUGUUGAAAAAAGAAAAUACAAUUUCUCUAAUAUAGAAAAGAACAAUUUACAAGUUACAACUACUUACCUUUCUAAAGCGCUUGAAGUUGACUUCUGUUUCAGUAGAUCUAACAGGAGCUGGCAUUUGGAUAGUUCUAACAAUCAAAUCUUGACUGAAUAGUAUAUCACAAUUUUCAUGUCUGUCGGCAAUAGAGUCAUCGCCUUUGUCCCUUCUCUCUAUAAUCCGAGCAUCCUCGUCCCUGGGCUUUAAAACCUUAUCUGAAUCAGCUGAAAGGUUUGCAUUAUUUUCUCCUUCCAAUUUUGUAGCGUCUCCUUCAUCUUUCAAAAUUUCUUUUGAACAUUUCUCAUCACAUUUAGGUUUAAUUUCAUUUUGGGAUUUGACAGCGACGGCAGCUUGAUCGGAAGUUGCAGUGUCGAUUUCAACAUCGGAAUCCGCUACUACAGUCUCGUCAGUGGAAUGUGAAGAUGAGACGAUAACUGCGAGAAAAUUGAAGGACUUACUUGAACAGCAAUGCUGGAAUAGUAAAGCAUAUUGCUGAAUAAAUGACACCUCAAGUGAAAUGAAGUUAUUAAAAGUUGCCAGUGAGCAUUGCCAAAAAAAAUUAGCUAACAAAGAAGUACAUAAUGACACGGGACAAGCACAUUACUAGUUGAAGGUAAGCUUGUAGCAUAAGGUUACUGUUCAGUGCGCCAGAUGUAACAUGAUUUUGUAUCAUAAUACAAUGACGUAACUACAAUACAGCAUGAAAGCAAGUGGAUAUAUUUUAAAGAAUAAAACAAAAUACAAGAUACAGGUGCAUGUUUUGCAAUCACCUUAAAAUAAAAAGAAGAACAAAAGGAUAGAAAACUCAAUCCUUCUACACUGUGAUAUGUGCGUUUGUGGUAAAAGCGAAGCAUUAUCUCCACUUCGUACCACAAUAAUCACAUCAUGUACAAGUGAAAAUCAUGAAAAAAUAAAUGCCUGUUAUAUAAUGAAUAUGCACAUUAAAUUAGAAUUCCAAGUAAUAGUGUAUCACCUGGACUACAUAUUCAGAAACAAUCUUUCCAAAAUAGAAGGCGUUUCCGAUCAGCGAAUUCUACUGGAAAUACUAUCUUUCUGGUGAUACGCUGAAAAGGAUUUAUUAGGGAUCAGCGCUCAAAAUACUUACAAGCAGGUGGCUCAAUGACGGCCGAGUCCAAGUGUCCAGAUAAUAUAGCUGCGAUUAACUUCAAAUCAGUAACUUUAGAUAAAGACGAUAGCUCACGUGAGUGAUCAAAUUCCGUUAUUGAUUUUGCAGGAACAACAAGAACUAUCUGGUUAUUUUCUCCACCAGCCGAUGUCUGCAAGUUCAAAAUGGGUUUGAUCAGAAUAAUGGAUGGGACCUUUGCAAAAUUAGGUGGAAUUUUAGGCAAAUUAGUUUUUAUAAGGACAAUCAAAUAACACUAGUUGGAUCAACCUCUGACCUGACUAUUUGAACAAUAUUCAUCAACUUGGAGGAACUUUGCUCCUGCUAGUUCAAGUAGCGAAUGGAGCUUCUCUCCAAAUUUAUACUGCACCAAGAUGGCAUUAGCUAUAACAUCCAAAUUUAUACUGCACCAAGAUGGAAUUAGCUAUAACAAAAACAUUCUUACAUCUAAAGAUAUGAAUACAAAGAAAAUAACCUUACGUGACGAUCCCAGAAUAAAUGUAUAGCCAACCAGGCAACUUUCACGAAGAUUCGCCUCCACUGCCUUUACCGCUGUUCCAUCAAGAGUCAAGUUUGGAACAUAGCUGAGGAAAUGGAUUGCCAAAUCAGCUUAUGAAAUUGUGGCAAACAGAUGUAUCAAGAUGAGCACAUUAGGAAAGAUGAAAUUGGUCUGCAAAUUUAUAAAAAGCGUCAAAAAUUAGUUUCAGACAAAAGGUAUGAAACUUACGAAGCACAAGAUGGCAUUUCUGUCCGUAUAUUUUGCUCAGCAAGCACCUGGAAAAAGGCAUCAACAACUUAGAAUCAAAUUGGAGUUGCUGUUCCGGUAGUCAAAAAGGCUUCUAUCAGUCAAAAAAGGCUUCUAUCGCACAAUUGCCUUUUAUUAAACACACACUACAUAUGAUGGAGAACGCUGGUGGAUGACGAUGGAUCACAAUUCAAAUUGAGUAAUCUUCAAAAUAUAGUAACACUCUUCUAACUCCUUAUAACAACUAUGAGAAUUUAGAAUCAAAUAUAAAUGCAAGGCACAGUAAGCAUAUUCAUUAGUUUCUCAACUAAAUAGAUGUACUUGCAAAAGCAUCAGGAAUUACCUUAAACCAAUCACCAGAAACAAUCUGUUUUUUCGUUAAGACUGCUUCAAUAAGCUCAGGCGUCAACGGCGAAGACUCAUCAACUAGAACAUGUGUACACUCAUCACUCCACUUACGAGUGGUGUAUACACCUGAGCAAAAGUAUUGCAUAUGUAAGAAGAAAGAUCAAUUAACAAAGAUAGAACAGAUUUCGAAUGACAAGUGAAAGGGCAGUGCAAGCUCACCACAGGUCACAAGAUAAUCUUUAUUGCUACACAGGAAAAGGAACUAAAGAUAACGUAUCUGAACUCAUCCAAAUAGGAACCUCUGUUCUCUAAAGAAAAAUUUUCAGAAAGGAGAUUAUGCCUACAAAAAUUCCAAAUAACAAAACCUUUUACACAGCUGGAGAGAAUCUACCCCAACUAAAGAAUACAGUUAGAUCACACAGAUAAAGAUAUUCUCGAUGAUUUUUUCUCUAUCUGUUUAAUUGGUACCAUGCAUGACUUUUGCUAAGACAAAAAAAAAAAAAAAAAAAAAAAAAAAAAAAAAAAACAAGGAUUGAAACUUGAGAUAUCGCCAAAUAACUAAAAUCGGAAUUGACUAUGUGCGCAAAUUAAAUGAAUUUGAUCAACCCUAUCAUUGUUCAAGAGCAGCUCAAAUUAAAUUUCAAACCUAAAUUUGUAUGAAGCUUGCUUGUUAUAUAUAUGAUGCAAGUCCAAAUCAAACCAAAGUUAUUUCUCUAAGAAUGCGACAAAUCAACUUGUAGAUGAAAUGCAUUUUCCUGAAAAGUCAAGAUUAUGAGGACCUCAUAAUGGACAAACUCUUAGAAUGAAAUCACAAAUGUUAAGCCCUAUUCUAUGAUAACUUGUUCCAACUUCCAAAAACACCCCCAAAAGUUCAAAUCAUUAUAUCACAACAGGUAGAAAAAGAUACUAAAAAGCAACAAGCAUUGGCAGCAGAAGAAUAUCCACCGACCAAUAGAUGACAUAAUGGCCUGCAACGAAGGAUCAAUUCGAACGAACUUCUGAACAAAUGUUAUGAGAGGAAUAAAAGAGAACCUGCCAGAAGACCAUGAAGACUUGGAUUAACAUAUAACGCCAAAUAGAAAAUGGAACACAAUGGUGCAACCAGAGCAUUCAAAACUAGCAACUGCUAAGGUGAACAGUAAAAGUAAAAGGAGCAGCAAAAUGUAUCGUCUGUGGAUAAGAGUAAUCAACAUUGCUACUAAAAGAGAAGUAUGGUUCUUCAUUAUACUCGAAUCUAUCAAUCACCUGAAUGUUGCAGUGCCGGUUCCGAAUGUUACAGAGUCCCCAUCUUUGAGAACCACCUGCUGAUCUUUGUUUAUACGAGAACCAUCAUUCCCUGAUUCUUUGUUUAUAGAGGUACCAUACUUUGAGCGGUCUACUAUAUAAACAUGUGAUGGAAAAUCUGCAGACACAGUAUGUGAAGGAUCCCGAGAAACCAUUUUCUCAACAACAAUUUCAGCAUGAACCCGUGAUAUCGAUGUGUCCGUUUGUACUAUAACAUCACAAUCUAAAAGACAAAAAGUAAAAAAAGAAACAAAUGUAAGAAGAUAAGCUAGCAAUACGCAGUGGACAAGAUUGUGUCGCCUUGUACAAAGAUGUACAGCUAGUUUGAUUGGCUGUGCAUUCAAAAGUUUUAACAACUCCAUUCAUCAUAUUUAAGGGCUAGAGAACUCAUCAGGAUAAACCCCAUAAACAAAGGUUGCUUGAAUGCAGAAUGAACACCUCUUGUCACCUCAACCAACCAAAACCUUCAGAUCAUAAUUAUGCGAGGAGCUCAAGAGAAACAUGGAUGAUGAAGAAGCACAAAUAAAUCAACAACAAAAAUUUUGAAAAUAAGAAAUCGGUCUUUCUUAUUCUCAUCUUAAUGCUUGUUUGGACAUACUUCUCCUCUCGGCUGCACUCGCCUCCAAUAGAGCGCUUCACGAGCUAAAAUGAUAUUUUGAGCCCCAAAAGUAGAAGCACCAAUUCUUGCUUCAUUCUUCUGCUACAAAUAGACGCUGUUGGGAGGAUUUUUGACAUAGUACUUCUCCUAAAAGCACUAGUCAUGCAGUACUUCAUCGAACAACACUAAACACUUCAGCACAGCCAAACAAACCAUCAACACUCUUGUCGUAGCAACUUCUAGAACGAUCAUUUAAAACCCUAAACCCAAAUUCUAAAUGCAAAAGUUAGAUGAAAGAAAGCGAGACGGAAACCACCUUUUCGGCCAACUUUGUAGGUUCCAGCAGAGAAGAUGUAGUACCUCUGAGCACCUACGAAGCAACAACAAUGCUAUAGAAUCAAAUGCAGUACAAAUCAAAAUCCCUAAAUUGCACCCAUAAAAGUUGAAACUUCGCGUAUAGCAUCGACGGAGAACACAACUAACAGUAGAUUACUGCGACUUUUGCAUGAUUUGAGCCCAAAAUCGGAUACAAAUUACUGAAAAAAAGAGACCAAAAUGGAACAAAAAUGGGGAAAAAAAACAAGGGGGAACCGCACCACGAAGGGAAUCGAUGGGGAUUAAACACCAAACCAUCUUCGAACGUCUCAGUUGCGACGAGUUCGACGAUCAAUCGAGGGGGAAAAAGAAAGGUGGAAGACGAGGAAGCAUCGGCAGCGUCUCGAAUCUCCGCGCCGACCUAAAUAAAAGCGGCGCUUUUGAGAAAAGAAUUAAAUCGUGGCCGUCACACUUAAGUGGGUCCCAUCAGAUCAACGUAUAUUACGUGUGACGAUUCACAUGUAAUUUUUCGACGGUGCGCAAUUUUUGUUUUUAAUUACGUAAUUUUCCUUUUAAGCAAACUAAAUUACACUUUUGGUUCACCAAUUAAAGGAAGAGUGAUACUUCAAUCCUGGGAUUUUACUUUUUUUUUUAAUUUUUUUAUCAAAACUUUAUAAUCAUUCUAAUUAAAUUGCACAAUCUAAAAUAUUCAGUAAUAUACUAAUAUUGAUAAUACGAUAAUUAUUAAAAUAUCACAGUAUUUGUACAUCAAUAGCAUCGCAACAAAUCAACUAAAUUAAGUUGUGCCAUUACAUUGCAACAACUGCUAAGUUCAACUUAGAAAGUGUCACACCCCUGAUAAUUUGAGAAUCAAAAGUUUAAUUUUGCCUUUUAGACGCUAAUAGAUUACUUAAUUUUCAUGCAUUCAACACGUAACAACUGAGAUGUCACAGUUCUCCGUGUCAAAAACAGGCGAAAAUAAUAGCAAAGGAAAAAAGCAUGGCAACAAUUACAAAUUCAUUGCUUACCACAAAGAAAGAGAUGCAACAAAGCCAUAUGGCGAAAUUACAGAGAGAUGCCCAUAAUUGGCUAUAGAAGCGCACUGGCUUCAUAGACACAUUUGACUCGGUUACCAGAACUUUGGUCUUACCAUAGUUGCUGUCACUGAGCAAUUUUUGUAGUUCCAGUGGAACCAAAAUCGACUUCAAAAAUCAAAACAGCAGAACAAACAUCGAAGAAAUUUCCCAGAAAAAAUUAAAAAAAUCACUCCAACCGAACAGAUCGAUUACCAUUACAAUUAAAUAACACAUCAAAUUCACGAUUUUGAUCCCCUAUGUGGAUCUUAGUUGGAUUUCGGUGUAUACACGAAUGAUACAAAUUUAAAACCAGAAAACAAGAGUUCUACUAUGUACAUAAAUGGCAAAGCAAGCAGAAAUUCACAGCUAUAUGCGAUGAGAUGAUGGACCCAACUUUUGUAGCAUAAAUUCUAUUUUACACAUCUGGAAAAGAAGGCAAAUGCCACCCUGAUUUGUUAGAUAUCAGUCGAUUUAUAAAUUAGGGAUAGAGAGAACCAUUUUAACCCCGGCUUAGCUUCCAGUUAAAAAAUUUGCAUACAUGCAGCAUAAAUACUCAGAUUACUCGCAUUACUCGGUGUUCUCAUCAAGCAAUGGCCUACGGUUUGACCUCUCAACAUUAGGAACAUCAUGUUCACCGUCCUCAUUGAAACGGUCAACACUGUGCAGAAAUAUACCUGACAAAACAACCAACAGAAGUGAGCAACUGGGGAAGAGAAGCACAAAGUUAGAAAAGAGAAUAAAUUACCCACUGAAAGAGGUGCCAGAUAGGAACGCAUACCUAUAAACCAUAUUACAGCUGCAACAAAAAGAACAGACGUCAAAAUCAGUGCAGUUUCUCUCCAGUUGUUGACUUGAUCCUGCAUUAUCAUUCGAAAAAGUAAACUUUGUGUGAGGAAAGAAUGUGCUUUGCUUAGUCUAUUGCUAGACUCCUAGAAAUCAGCAAGUAACAUCAUAAUGUAGACAAAAACAAACAAGGAAUGUGUGAUGUACGCAUCCAAAUUACACCAGCAUAUGAAUAUGCAUCAUGUGUGUAAAAGAAUAUUUGUCGGAACAUGGUAAACAGCUAUUCUGAUUGUUCCUGUUAAUCACUGAAUGCCAUCAACAACACAAAAAGUACUUUUGAUCCACAUCUCAUGGGGUUUUAUAACAUCCUCGAGGUCAUUUUCUUGUUUGACCAAUGUCAACCUCCUAUAUAACAUCCUCGAGGUCAUUUUCCAAGGUUACAAGCUCACUAAGCUCCUCUACGAUGAUUGGAACAUGAACCAAGUUUCAAUAUUGUUUAAACUACCAUCCAUUUUCCUAAGUAAAACAGUGAGGUAAUAUUGGAGAUCCAACAGAUUCAGAGAGUAAAAUCUCUAGCUAAGCUAGUGCAGACGCCAUGAAGUAGCAGCCAUAAAAGUAGAGCUGAAAAGUUGUUGUAACAAACCUGCAAAACCCCAACCAGAGGGGAAGAAGGUACAUCACCGAAUAUAUGGAUAGAGACAGUGGACAUAGCCAUUGACAGUGGUCUCAAGCUAGGUUUUAUGCAGUGAAGGCAUAUAUAGUUCACAGGACCCUGCAUAAGUGGACAAGGUGAAAUAAACACUCGUUGCAUCAUGGCAGUUACAAGGGAUCCGUGCAAACCAGACAGCAUUGCAAGAGCAUGUUGUUCACAUUUCGUAGUUCAUCCUUAGUAAAGAUAUUAAAGAAGAGUAUAUAAGACAGCUAGUCUGAAGUAAACAAAAAACCUCCUUGCAUUUGACGUCUUAAACUCCAGCUCUCCAAUGGAGAAGAAUGAUAUAAAACCAUAACUAGUUUCAUACCUGUGUGGCAAAGACGAGCAGCUCUCCAACAGAAAAGAAGGCUAUAAAACCAUAUAGGCUCUUGAAACAGAAAGCACUAAAACAAAAUAUAGCCCCCAGAAAAGUUGCUCCAGAAAGAAGCUGAAAAACAACCAAAUUCCAAUGAAUACAUGAGCAACAUACCUUAAUAUACAUAGAGGUUUGUAUAAGAAAACUAAAUCCCAGACCCUUGUGAUAUAAAAGCAUGACCUUUGUGAUAAAAAAGCAUAGCCCGAGUAUUGACACCUCUGACUAUUGAGUACAGCACCAUUAAGGAUUUGUCUGGCACCAGAACUCACCAGUAUCCUAAGUUAGAGAACCUACUAGCUAGGGCAAUGCCAAUAUGGAUGUUCCAACCACUUUAGAAAAGACAACAAAGUAUUCAUUUUUUUGGUGGCAGAGUAAUGUUUUAAGCAUUCUGCACUAUUUUCUGUGGAGAAAUCACUCCACAGACGUACUGUAAACUUCCUUAUUUUACAGGUUUUUUGAUGUGAGACAUCAAAGGCUAUUUGAUGUAAGAAAUAUACAGAUAUUUAUUCUGGCACACAAAGUUGCAACACACGGAUGAUCUAUUCAUAUAAUAUGCUGUAGAGGAAUGAGAGAAGUCAAGUUAACUCUGAAAACAAAGCAUCAAUUACACCAAAAGCAGAAGACCUUUUUUAUUAUUCGUCCUUGAAACUUCAGAAGUAUAAGAAGUUAAAUUUAACUUUUAAUCUUCUUCUGCUUACUAGUUAAUUCUUUUUAGCGAAGUACCAAAAGGCCAGAACUUCAGGCAACUGAUCUUACUACUAAUGCUCCUUUUCAGAAAAGUUUUCAUACACCAUUAUGGUAAUGUCCUUGCCACAAUACGUAUAUCAAUUUUUAUUUCCAUUCUACCUGCGUACUUUGUAUUUGGUAAAGAUAUUUUAAGGAAAAACAAUAACAUUAUCGCCGCACAAAAAGGACAUAUAAAAUGAAAUACAAUCACAUAAAAAGAAACUAAAAAAAGGUGCUACUUUUUUCUGAAAUGACAGGUACCUUGAAAGCAUUUGAGAUUGUUGAAUCCAUUUUGUCAAGAACAAAACCACCAGCUAAGGUUCCAAAAAUUCCGCAUAUUAUUGUUAUUCCUCCAAACAUCAAAUCUGCAUUGCUCUGACAAGGAAAAGAUAAUAGGAAAAGGAUGCAUAGUAAGGUCAAAGGACACACAGUGUAAAUAGAUUGCUCUCUCGCACCAAAGAAAUGAAAGAUGCACUCUGUAUUUCCAAUGUUUAAUUCAUCAACGCCAAUUAAAACUUAAAGAAGAGAUGUUACCAUAUGAUAGAUAUCAUAACCAGCUUUUGGGCCCCAGUAUGAAUAGGCUCCAAUGACAAAGUUGUACGCAAUAUAACCUGGAGAAGAGUAUUUCAGUUCUAACAGAAACAUUUAAUUAAGCAAUAUGUACAUAACAUGAAAUAAGUAGGGCACAUCUAAUUUAAAACUGUAAAAAUAGCAAACAAUCCUCUUCUAAAUUAUAGGUAUCACAUUUAGGCUGACAGCUGGAAUGUUCUGACCUAAAACAUUUACGACAUACACCUUCUCAUGCAGAAGUGCUUUCAUAUCUUUCCAAAACCGCUUAAUUUGGAUCAAAAAUUGCUUGGAACCCGUUGACCUGCCAGAUGUCAGGGGAAAGACUUAAUAGAGGGAAAAUUCACAGUUCAAAGUCAUAAAGAAAAACAUGCCAUAUAAGCAAAGCAUUCUGUCAAAGGAAACAGUAACACCGAACCGACGAAUCAAGUCCCAUGGCAUUCAACAAGACUGCUAUGGAAAAGAAGAAAAGUACAGAACGAAAGGAUACCAUACAAGUUAAAUUUCUGCGAUGUUUUAUCAGCUAAGUCAUUAUCAACUGGUAUAGCCUGUUCUGCUGUUCGUUCAUCUGAAAUUCAAAUUAUUAUUAACUAAUCAAUAAAAGAAAGAAUGAAAAUUAACUAACUACCAGAAACUACAGAAAUAGAUUUAUUACAAUUCCAUACUGCAGAUUAGUCACACAAAACAAAACUACAACAAACAUUCUAGAUUGUCUAAAAACAAUUUCCUCCACAGAAUGGCAGAAAGUAAACUCAAUUGUUGAGCAAAUACAGGGUUAAGAUAAACUCUCGACAAGAAGAUGAAAUGUUGCUGAAGAAUUCUUGAAAACUAACAAGCUGAUUUAACACAAUUGAACUUCAUAAACAUAUUUACUUGUAUGCAAGUGAUUCAAAUAUUUGGUAUUGUAUUAAUCAGCAUACUUGUAUCAUCUUGAAACUUUUGAUCAAUCAUUUCCCCAUAGCCUUUUGCUUCCUUUGAAACAGAUGAAGCAAAGCCUGCAAAAGUCACAAGAAAAUUCGAAAUAUCAGAAUAUUUUAAGAAAUGUUAGAUGCAUAAACACCUAAAAGAAAAUAAAUAGAUACCCUUUAGCUGCAGAGGCUUAAUGACAAAACCCAGAAUAGCAAAUGGGAGCAUCAAAAUGGACUCUCCCCAAAAUGCAGCACGCCAAUGAAGAUGACUACCAACCUGACAUUUGCAAACUCUCAAGGAUCAACAAGAUUUUUUUAUUUCAUAUGAUACUCGGAUAUCAGGGAAGCUACAAAUUCAAAUAUUGAGCAUCUAAACAUUAUGAAGAAUCCCAUUCAAACUAAUAGUUUAAUACAUGUAGAAAUUCACAAACGUAGAGACUCUUGAACUGACUGCAACUGGAUGCAGCAGUCAAUUCAUCCCAUGCGUGAUCUUUUCAAAUAGCCGUAACUUUUGAAGAUCUAGAGAGCUAUAUGAGCAGAAUAUUCAUGCACAUGCCAUUGGAGCCUAUUAACUUUGUAUUAAAACACUGUGCACUUAAUUUCCUUCUACCCCCUAAAUUCAUAUAAUGGGGAACAGACUUAGUUUAAGCUCAGAAACUGCCCAACAAAUUAAUGCAUUAGUUUAUCUUUUUUGACAUGGCAAAUUUCUUGUAGUAUUGAUUGUUUCAGUUGAUCCGGAAAUGACAACAAUUUUAACUGUUACAUGUUACUAUUCAAGAAUUAGCUCCUAGAAUGCAAAUGUAAGGGAUCUUGACAAUCCGAGAAAGAAAAAAAAGGUUAUGUAGUGCAAUUGAAACUCACCAGCCCACCAUAAACGUAGCCAACUGCAAUCCCAGUUGGUAUACACAUGUAGAAGAUUGAGAGCCAAGCAGUUUUCUGGAGCCAUGGGAUUUAACAACAAAAUUAGCUCACUACAUCUAGCAAAGCAAGCAAUUAGAAAACAGAACAUGCCAUAGCACACCAUAGCAAUCAGAAAACAGAACAUGCCAUAGCAAUCAUAAAACAGAACAGAGCAUUGCAAGUGUGCAGACAUAACAUGGCUUAACUAAAAUAACUGCCAAUGCUAACAAGUUGAUUUAUCAAGGGAAUCGUAUAUCAAGCAGACCUGAACUACAAAUCUGGUCCUAAAAAUAUAUAGAGCAAAUAAGUUACUGCUUUCCCUUCCGAAGCGUUAGUGAUGUAUGCAUCUAGAGCAUUAUAAGUUACUCCUUCACUUUUGGUGAAUGUUAAAACCCUUUACUUUUACUUUGUGAGAAUAUUAGAUUUCCACUCGUGGUUCUCAAUUUCUUCUUUUUAACUUUCUCAAAAUUACCAAAACCAAUUGACAGCUGCUGAAACAUCCUAACAGCCUAUAAAUUGGUCAAAGAAAUUUAAACAAACCUGAGCUACAGGUGCAUUAUCAUCAAUAAACGGAGCAGCAAGACUUAUAAAUGAAGCCUCACCAACACCAACCAACCUGGAUAACAAGAGUAAGGUGUUAUUCAGUAAUCACAUAGCUUAAUACUAGUUGCUUUUUAUUUGAUCCACUUACAUGCGGCAUAUUGUGAUUGACCAAAAAUCAAAAGAACAUCCACAACCAGCAGUAGCAAUAGUCCACACUAACAAUCCAACUCCAAUAAGCCUGAAAGGAUUAUGGCUGAAAAGACAAGAUAUAACAUUAAUCAACCACUAAGAUAUGUGGGAAAUCCCACAAAUUUGUUAUAUUUAUUCUAAAACGUUUAAAGAAAAAUCUUGAGAAAUUAGAGUACAAGUAUUCAAUUUCAACCACAUAAUAGCAGGAGCUAAAAAAGGACAAAUUAAAUAUAAUUAUGGAUUCAUCAACAUGUUUAUCUUUCUUUGAGAAGCAUCUUGUAGCCCAUCCUAAGCUGCAUAAGAAACAUCACUGAAAAGUUUAUAUGAUGAAGCAAUGCUAGCCUUUUUUGGGCUACAUGUUCCUCAUUUUCAAGUAAAAUCACAUAAGUUAAUGAAGUAGUAUAAAAAGUAGCUACAUAAACAUAUUUCAAUAUAGGUUGGAAAGAAAGCAUAAUGAGAUACCAGUGCAGUUCAGUGUCAAAUAUCUCAAAAACUAACCUCUUUGCCAAAGAUGCAAAAAUGGGGGAAGCUACUAACAGUCCAACCAUGAAUGCAGACGACAGAACACCAUCUUCAAAAUAAUUCAAGUUAAAGUCCCCUCUGCAAAAGAAAGCGCAUAUAAAUCUGUAACACAACAUCUGCAAUGAGGAACUAGAACAAGCAUGACUUCUUCACCAUAGUAAUUCACCAAGGUAAAGAGAACAUCCGCAUAAGCUAAAAGAAUAUUAAAGCAUUUUGCACUAAACUAGAAGGGCUCAUAAAAGAUUAUGCUCAUUUCUUCCAGGCACAGAACCAAAUACCAAAAGGUUAAGAUCAAAUAAAAUUCUUGAUGAAUCUUACUGAAUUCCAGAGCCUGAAGUACAAAUGCCACUGUCCGUACAUGUUCUACGACUACCGUUGACACCAUUACUUGCUAUAGCCCCUCGAUCAACAUAGUUUAGCAUGUUGAUAAUGCAAAAUAUCACAAGUAGUCUGCAAACAAAAGCCAAUUAAAUCAUGCUGAAUAAGGAAACUUAAGUGCAAACGCUACUCUGAAACUGUUAAUGCAUGACAUGCAUUAAUGGAUAUAAUCAGCUCAGGAAAGGAAAUUAGUCGGUCUUAUGUCAAAGUAAAAUAAGAAGUUAGAAGGAGGAGCCUGUACAGAAUUAAAUGUUCCUCAGUUAUAGAAUGUCAGUCCAGCUCUCCACGUUAAACAAAAAAAAUGAGCCCCAUCUUUCAUUUCAGAUAACUUACAAUACAGUAUAUGAAUAUUCAUCGCAAAGUUUGACGUCACUGAUAUUAAUGUUACAAUACACUCAAGAUAAAUAUAAGGAAACAUCUCGAUCAAUAUAAUUAUAAACAGUAAGUCAAUUAAAAAUAUUAUGUGAAACAUUCUGAGGAAUUGGUUAUCAAACCCUAUAUCCUAGCAGCUAGGGUAGAAGUAAUAUGGUGUGGUACAAUAAGAAAACACAUAUUUUCCCCAACUAAUAAGGAUUAAUUAACAAUCAAGAAGAUCUAUACUCGAAAAGAAUCAAAUUCUUGACAUUUCUUUGUUACACCUGCUUUUCACAAAACCUACUGUUCCUCCUGAUCCAAGUUUUAGGCAUCAAUAUCAUUCUCCAAGGACCAAUAUCGCCAACAUUACAAUAUUAUUACCCCUUACACCAGUAAUAUAACUAACAUCCUCUGCACACUCUUUCACCUCUAUUCUACACCAAUUUAGGGAUCCACCCUCAAACAACCCAAGCAUUUUAUAUUCCAAGCCACCAAAUCAUCUCCCAUUGCCACGAACAACACGAGAAUCACCGUUCUUUCCCAAAUCUAACCAAGAGUUCGUCGAAAGCAGGGUUUCUAGGAAUUCGACCCAUUUCAGAUUCCGAGCUACCAAAUCGCCUCAACUACACCGACCACCGCACGAAUCGCCCUUCCUCCCGAAAUCCAACCAAGAACCUUUCAAAGCAGCGCACGAAAAGGAGAAGAAACCCGGGUCUCUCGGUUACCUCUUCGGCGUGAACCACGAAGGAGACGGAUCGGGGCCGCUAGGGUUAGGGUUUCCCUCGGGAUCUCGGGGGAGAGAGAUCGCCAUCGCCGUCGUCGGAUUCGUCGUCGUCGUCGUCGCCGUCGUAGUCGUCGGAGUCGGCGGCGAUGGGAGGGGAGCGGAGUCCGGCUUGGAGGAGUCCGCCUCAGGCUUGUUAGGCUCGUCGCCCAUAAAGAAAACGAAAUGCCCCCUCAAAUAAAUAAUAAAUAACUAUUUUUUUGAAUGCGUAAAUAGCGAAAACACGAUGUUGUUACUUGUUAGAGAGAAUAUCCGUAUUUUUUCUUUUUAUUUUUUGCAACGGUUCGGGGUUUUCUUUUUUUCUUUUUUUUCUUUUUUUCGGUUUUAGAGGAAGAGUAGGAAGGAUAGGAGAGAUUGGGUGUCGCUCUCCCCUCUCUCUCCCCCACCCUCCUCUCUCUCUCUCUCUCUCUCUCUCUCUCUCUCUUUGUUGUUCAUAAUUUAAAAAAAAACUUUAAAUACCACUCUCUCUCUCUCUCUCUUUGUUGUUCAUAAUUUAAAAAAAAACUUUAAAUACCACCUCCUAUUUUCAUACUUUUUUAUUUUAAUAUUUUAUAAUUUUCUAUUUCGUACUUUAUAAUUUUAAUUUUUUUUAUUAUUUUCUCUAUUAAUUUUUUUUAUUAAAUCAGUGAGAAAAUUAAAAUAAAAAUACUAAAAUAAAUAUUCGAUAAAUCAUAGACGGUGUAUCUGAAACUUUUUGUAUAUGAUUUAACAAAAAUUUACUGAAUACUAAAAUAAAAAGUGAUAUUUAACGAAAAAUUACAGAGUACUAAAUUACAGAAAGGCUGAUGAAAAAAAUAAAACAAAAUUAUAAAAUACUAAAUUAAUAUUCUUUAAAUUAUAAAGUAUUAAAAAAAAUACGAAAUUACAGAAGUGGUAUUUGAAGUUUAUUCAUAAUUUACAGAGUAUGAUUCCUCUGCUAUACCCUAUCCAAACGGGAACAGGAAAAGUAUCUCGUGGACCAGGAGGAAUUCUACACUGUCACACUUGCACCACGUCAUCAAUAACAAGCCAAUCGCAUUCCUUCUUUUCAAACAAAAGUACAAUAAAAAUACUUUUUUACAAUCAUAAUGGGACAUGUAUUCUUAAAAUGAUUAAUUUGAUUGGUUUGUUACGCCACGUCACUAAUAUACCCGUUGCAUUCUAGAAUUUUUCCGUGGACCAGGGAAUGGGUCCCAUGAUUAUAUUCUAUUAGUCUUAUACUAAUUAUUAAUUUUGUUAAGAUAUUUGUAAAUCACAUACAAAUGUGUAUUUGCCCCCGAAUAAUAAAGUCUAAAUCAUUAAUAGAUAUAAUAUAUUUUUUCUAAUAAUAACAAAAUUAGCUAAAAUAAUAUCAAUUUUCGGAAAAAGAAUGUUCACCAUUUACCCAAGACAAUGAUAGUAUUUUGCUUAUAAUAUUUUUCAACUUUCUCCUUAAUUACUUUAUCAAUUUAAGCUGAAAUUAUAGUAAAAAAUUUCCACAAAGAGUAGCUGAAAUUAUGAACCUCAAAAUAAGUCUCCUUCUCUGUAGUGCUUUUUGUUUUUAGCAUAUAGCCUUUCCCUCUUUUCAAUUAUGAUUAUCCAUUUAUUUUCGUUUUAGAAGUUAUUUUACCCAUUAAUCAUUUUUCAGAAGUUGUUUAUAUAUUAUCAUAUCAGGAGUUAGCUAGAAUAUUAUUGAUAAUAUUUGACCUAUUUUGCUAUUAAAUUUUUAAUCCUUAAAUGAGAAAUUAUAGGAUUAGAAUGAUAUUAGUUUCUUUUAGGAUUAAGUGGUCCCUACUGGGUUAUAAUAUUUAAUCCAAUGACUAGAAAUGAUCAAAAAAUUUGAUCAAAAAAUUAAAAAUUUGAUAGCGAGUAUCAUUCAAGAACUAUAGCAGCACUCUUUCUUUUUUUUUUUUUUUUUAAAGCAAAGUUGGGGGUCACAGGUGGGAAAUAGCUGGCUGAAUUAGUGGGUUAAUCUUUUAAUAAAAGGCACAGCUCGAUUGUGCCGUAAAGGCUGGUUAUGAUUAGUAAAUUAUACAAUAUUUUUAAAAUUAUUUUUUGUGGUUCAAUGUGUUAUUUUUUAAUUAAGAGGCAAUUACCUAUAUACUCCUGAAAAGUUUUCGCUUUUCUUUUUUAUCUCUCUUAUAAGGCUAAUAUUGAAAAUACUCUUCUUAUGUUCCAAGUCUUUCUAAUAUACCUCUAUAAUUAAGUUCCGUUAGUGAGCUGCCGUUAUCUCUAAAAAAUUAUUAUUUUGCCCAUUCUAAUAUACCCUUAUACCGUAACUAACUUUUUUUAUAUACCCUUCAUAUAGCAAAUAUUUUUCUAAUUUGCCCUUCAAAUAUCAAUAAAUUAAUAAAGUACGUCGGGAGCGCAGAUGAACAAAUGAGAUCGAUCGCAGCUAAACCAACAUUGGUGGCUGGAAAGUUACUUACCAAUUUCAAGAAUAGAGAACUUUAAAUUGUGCCAUCGAUACGAAAAUUAUAUCGUGCCGAUAUCUUGCUCGCACAAUACGGUACGAUGGAUACAACCCAUACCAACGGCCAAUGCCGAUGGGCACUUUAAUCUUUGAUCCGCAGCUUGAUGUAAUUUGAAUUCAAAAACUUCUUCUCUUGUGUCAUAUUAAAUUAUAUAAAAAUAAUUAUUUAUCUCAAAAAUCUUAAAGUUAUUAGAUAAUGGUAUUUUUAUAUUUUAUAUCAACCCUUAGGUAGAAGCUCUCUAAUUUGAAGAGUCUCCAUUCACAAAAUAAAACAAAAGACACUUCAUUCCACAGGCGUGUAACUAAAAGAAUCUAAUCAUCAAGUUUAACGAAAAAAAAGUUCUCUAAUUUUAUAGGCUAUUGCUCAAAUAAAUAGCAUAUGGAGCAAGAACAGAUCCAUGUGAUUCUUUUGCAUCAGAAUCAAAUUUGAAGAACAAAGAAUAAUAAUGCAGACUAUGCAGUUGAACGCAGCACCUGCAAGUAAAAAGGAUAAAAUGCAGUUAACAACAAAGGAUAACUAAGGAAGGAAAGAACAAGAAAUGAGAGAAAAUUUUCCUCAACCUUCAGUUUAUAAAACUCGAGAUGAGGAGCCAAUUGUCUAGGAGAAGAGAUUGAGGAAAGAGGUCGCACCGAUGUUGCGCGACAUCUCCCGAUGUAGAUAUAGCUGACGAGGUCUAAAAUCUCUGAGUUCUACAAAAUCAGAACUAAAGGAUCACCUCGGAAGAUCAGGAAACAUUAAACUAAAUAGUGAACAGUUUUUUCACGGUAAUCUCCGUAAUAACGUGUAAGAGCUCACCUUGCGUUCACGGUUCUUUUUCUCUUUUUCUUCUUUAAUCCCCAAUCUUCUCUGCACAGUAUCCCUUUCCAGUCGAGAACUAUGGGAAGCCUUAACUUUCACACCAUUACUGCAUUUCAGCAGCAACCUGUGGAUAGUUGCAUUAAUGACAACACAUUGAUUGUGAUAAACGAGUAGUAGGAAAUAAUACUCUUUGUGACUGUAAUCACUGAGAAUCUAAGAGUGCGAUGAAAACAAAGUAGAACACAGUUUAAACGCAUAAAGGACAGAGAAAAAAAAAACAGAAAAGACCACUAACUUAACAUGAUUUCUUUGCAAAUAAUGAUAACAAUUUAAGGUUGCAUUUUUUUUUCAAAGGAACAGCACAUCUGUCACUAGUAAGAGAUUGCAAACAGACAUUACCGUAAGUAUGCCUCAAAGAAUACCUCAAAGGUGCAUGCUAGACUCGAAAGUUGAUUUAUAAUGAUAGCAGAUAGCACUUCAUCACGCUGCAACUCCAGUAAAUGUACAUGUGUAUUGAGCUUAAUAUUUGAGUGAAUGACAAUCACACCAUAAGAUGUCCACAGAGUUCAGUAUUUGGAAAAUUGGAGGCCCGCUAUAGCCGCUAUAGCAAAUACUAUGUCAUAUAGCAUGAUUGAUGUUUUUUAUUGCAUUUAACAUGUUAUUUUUCUGCAUGUCUCAAGGCACAAAUCUAUGGUGAUUUCAUGUCAAAUAUUGGCCUAGUGUCUUAGAAAGAAAGUUGAAGGUCGAGAAACUAAAGCUAGAAAUUAGCUUCAACAUACCUCGGUUCUGGAUGGAAAGAGAAAGCUUCAUACAGAGAGAGUUCCUGAAGCAAAUAUACACAUUUCUGAAAGCUGGAUUCAGAAAAUGUGUUAUGGGAGUGGCUUGCAAGCAAAAAACCAUGCGCCUUUUCCGAUCAUCUAGGCAAACAUAAGAUACUUCUGAAAGCUUUGAUAAAAUUUUCUAUAUUCACCCAAACAGUAUACAUCAUUUCUUCACAUCCUCCAAUAUGUCACUUAUGCUGUCAAUCAUUGGCACAGAACCUUUCUCAAUGAGCAUCCUGGUAUCUAAAUAAGUACAUUCAUCUCGGUACAACUUGCCAACAGCUUUCUUCAUUAGUUCAAAUUGCUUAGGACUAGUGGAAUGAAAGUUGUUACUGAGAAUCUCUUUCAAAAGCUCAAAUGCUUUUGUUGUAUUACCUUUCAAAAUCAAGGAAUUUAUUAGCAAUAAAUGUACAUUUUUAUCAAGCUCAAUCCCUCUCUCCACCAUCUCAUUAUAAUAAUUAAGUGCUACAUCCGGCCUAGCACAUUUGCACAGACCAUGAAUGAGAGCCGUAUAAGUUAUAUUGUUUGGAAAACAACCCUUGUGCCUCAUUGCAUCCCAUAUAACAAGAGCAUCUUCAGCUCUUCCGGCGCUACACAAUCCAUCUAUUAAGCUUGUGUAAGUGACGACCGUAGGCGCCCUUUCUUCAUCAAUCAUUUUAUGAAAGAAAGCAAGUGCCCCUUCAAUCUUGUCAGCCCUGCACCAAUUAUCGAUCAUAAGAUUAUAGGUGACAACAGAAGGAAUGAGCCCCUUCACAAGCAUGUUUUGUAGAAUAUCUUGUGCUUCAGUCAAUCUACCAGCUUUACACAACCCAUUAAUUAUAAUAUUGUGAGCAACUACAUCGGGAAGAUAAAAAUUUGAAGAGAUGUCACGAAAGAGUGCGAGAGCCUUAUCGACUUCCCCAUUCUUGCACAUACCAUCAAUAGCUGCAGAAUAAGCAACAAGGUCAGGAAUAAAACCCACUUUGAGCAAGUCACUUAGAAACUCUGAAGCUUUGGCUACUUCUCCAUUCAUACAGAGUUCCUUUACCAUAGUGGUGCAAUGCUUUAUCCAUGGUACACGCCCUUCACUUCUCAUCUCCCUUAGGAGGUCAAGAGCAGCUAUUGAAUCCUUCCUUCUGCAAAGCCCGUAAAAUAAAGAAUUAUAUGUAAACUCAGUAGGUACAAUUCCCAAUUCCUUCAUCUUGCCAAAAAUCUCAUAGGCUUCAUCCAAUCUAUUUACAGUACAGAGCUCGAGGAUCAAAUUAUUAAACAUCAAAAGCUUUCCUUUGCGUCCUAAUCCAACCAUAUCAUUCACAAGAGUUAAUGCCAUAUCCAGCUUUUUAACUUCGCAUAAACCACAAAUAACAAUAUUAAAAGAAUCAGAAUUUGGGAUAACAGCUCUCUUGACAUUAAAUAAGUUCUCCAAUGUAGCUUCAUUCUCGCCUAUCUUUGGCUCCUCCAUGGUUGAUGAAGGGACUUCCGUGCCUACAGAUUCUAUCAUAACCCUUAAUAAGCUAUGAGCUCUAUCUACAUCACCUUGAUUAACAAGUCCAUCAAGAAUUGCAUUAAAAAGGGCGACACAACUACUAGAACUCAGAAUCUCCUUGUUUUCCUCAAACAACCGGCCUAUGCCGACCAAGUCAUUUUCCCCACAAAAAGCUGAGAUCAUCUUCUUGAGCAAUCGAACAUCUGGAGAAAUACCCUGCCUCUUCAUAUCCAUGUACAAAUCCAAAGCCCUUCUUAGAUCCUUCCCCUCACACAACCCUUCAAUCAAAACACUAUAAAUCCGCAAAUCCCCAAUAAAACCCGAGUCUUUCAUUUUAUCGAACAUCUCUACUGCUUUAUCCAACCUCCCCUGCCUCACAAAACCGUGAAUUAAAACACUAAAUGUUCUUUCACUGGGCUUCACUCCUCUCUCGGUCAUUCUAUCAAACAGUUCGAAGACACUCUCCACCUUUCCCCAUUUACAGAACGUGACAAUUAGGACUGUUAGUACAUGCUCAUCCACCCAUCCUCUCUCAUUCAUGUUAUUAAAAGUUUUCAACACAGCAUCGAAUUUCCCAGCAUUGCAAUAGCAUUGCAAGACCGAAGUAAGCGUAUACUUAUCCGGCUCUCUCCCUAACCCUUGCAUCAUCUCCCGAAGCCUCGCUUCCGACGACUCAACUCGCCCGGCCUUACCCAACACCUCGAGCAAACAAUUGUACGUAUACGAAUUCGGCACGCAGUUCAAAUCCCCAGCGUGAUCGAACACAUGUUCAGCCUCUUCGACUAAGCUGAGAGUGCCGAGGCACCGGAUUAGGAACCCCAUCGCGCCGGGGGUCAUGGGGCAGCGGCGAGCGACGACCUCGGCGGCUAGGGUUUUGAGGCGCCCGGGCUGGCGCGCGCGGGAGAGGGCGUGGGCCAUGGCGUUGUAGGUGUAGCAGGUGUGGUGGAACCCGGGCUGCCACGCGGCCCAGCGGAAGAACUCGUCAGCGGCGCGCCACCCCGCCAAGCUCCCGAGGACGAGCUCGGCUGUCUGGCCGGAGAGGAGGCGCCCGGCGCGGCCGAGCUCGGCGGCGUCGCGGAGGUGGCGCGGUUGGGAGAAUAGGUCGAACAGGUGGCGUGCGUGGGGGUUGGAGGAGAGGGAGGGCUCGAAAGGGGAAGAGGAGGAGGAGGAGGAGGAGAUGGAGCGGAGGUUGAAGAUGAAGUGGUAGGGUUUCGGAGGGGGGAAUAAGUGGGUUAUUCUGAGUGCUCGGAGAGACAUGUUGAGGAUAAAAAUGGGAAUAGGUGUGGAAUAGGUAUUCCCGGAUUGGAAUAAGGAUGAGUGGGUUGGUUAAUCAGGGAUAAGCGAUAAAAUGGGAGCGUAAGAGAGUUUCGCCAUUGAUGGAGCUCGAAGGCGAAAGGGAGGUUUGGUUUUUGGAAGGGGAGAUCACAGAGGACGAAUAUACGUACAUGAAUGACAGUGGAAGACCACGAAGAAUACGAAGGAGACGCAUUAUGCACAUUCCUGUUCAACAUAUACAUCAAUACAUGACCAUUUUAUUGCUGACAAAAUUAAUGAAAAAUUUUCCAAAAAGAAACCCUUCCAAAUACAUAUUUGAUUGGUUGGAUCUAGAUCAUGUUGAAUUAUGAAAUGAAUAUAAGAUAUACACUUUAGAAAUUGGGCAGGAAUACUAAUAAUAGUAUUGAAUUUUUUUUGCUAUCGAAUUUUUAAUUUCAGAUGAAAAAUUAUAAGAUUAGAAUGGCAGUGGUCCCAUUGAAAAAUUAUAAGAUUAAAAUGAUAAUAGUCUCAUAGGGUUUAGUGAUGAUCCGAUUGAUUGAAUAAUAUGAUUUAAAAGAUAAAGUUAAUUAAAGUGUAGAUCUAGCAGCGAGCAAAAAAGUCAAAAUAUCAUUAACAGAAAAAUAUGUAUAAAUAUUUGUUUGUUCGAUAAAACGGGCUCUAGGCCCAACCAAUUGUUUCCAACAGACAUGUGGGUUUAGCCCAAGUUACAACGGACUCGAAAGGGCUUAAUUCUUUGGUCUAGUGGGCCAAGGGCCCAUUAAGGCCCGAUCCGUUUUCUUGUUCGAGGGGUCACUUCUCCUUCUCCUCCUCUACUCCCACCCAGGGUUUAGUUCUUUUUCCAUUACUCGCUCUCUCCACCUCCACCUCUGUCUCUCUCUCGCUCGCGCGCUCUCGUAGAGAUAUCAACUUCGCCAUGGGCGAUAGCCAAUACUCCUUCUCCCUCACCACCUUCAGGUUUUCCCCCAAGCCCUUCUCCCCAAACCUUCUCCUAUUUUUCUACUUGGAUCUGUUCGUGUUCCCUUUGAUCUCACCCUUUUUUUUUCUUCUUUUUUUUUUGCAUUUAUUUUCUUUGUUUGUUUUUGAUCCGCGGAGAUUAGCCCCUCGGGGAAGCUGGUUCAGAUCGAGCACGCGCUAAUGGCCGUUGGAGCAGGUCAAACGUCUCUCGGGAUCAAAGGUAUCUCCGAUCGAUGUAGAUUCGUCGUGUUAUGCGAAGAAUGAAUUGAUUUAUUUGAUUAAUUGCUGUUUUUUGGGAGAAUUUGGUGUUUGGGAUGAUUCUAGGGCUUAUUUUUGUAGCAUGAAAUUAUUGAGUAUAACACUCACCAGAUGAGUUGUUGCAUUAUUGGAAGAGGGGGAAAAAAAAGAGAGCAAGUUAUACAAUUAAAUCAGCUAUAUUGCUUCUUACUUCAUGUACAUCCAAAAACGGGACUAUAUUUACUUACUGGGAACUCUGACAUAUACUAAGUUAUCAGUAGCCUUCUAGAUGGUGUAGGAGUGGAAAACGAGAUCUCAUGAACUCAACGAUUGAGAGUUUGCAUCAAGAUAUUUCAAAAGAACGGACUUUAAUAUGCUGUGGAUGUGAGUGGUGAUGGGACAUGUAAAAAAGUUUGAAAUGGCAUAUAAGGUGACUGGAAUUGUGUGAUCUUCUUGGUCAAAUUACUUUCAUUAAAUUUUAUGGCUUUGCUUGUUAGUUAAGAUCAGAGUUGCUGGCGGAAAAUUUAGCUUGGUCGUUCUUCGAAACCGUAGUCUUUCCAGUUUGAAUUAAUCUUAUAUAUAUAGAGUGUUAGGGCAAGUAGCAUGGAGAUUAUUAAUUAUCGCCCUUUUCUGCUCAUAUUUAAUAGUAAUGACUAAAAUGGGUGGUCAGAUACCUCUAUAUAUGUUUAUCUAUCUGAUAAUUAGAUAAUUAGCCUUAUAUAUAUAUGAUGGGAAUGACAUGUAGUUGCAAUGGUUGUUUGAAAAGAAUAGCCAUUUGAGUCAUGAGUUUUCAGUUGGAGUGCAUGGCCAUUUGCGUAUUGAAUAAGUAACAGAUUCAAAGUGCAACUUUUGCUGGACUUUUUUAUCACAACUUCCGGUACUCUUUUUGUUGUUGCAGCUGCUAAUGGUGUCGUUAUCGCAACCGAGAAGAAACUUCCUUCGAUUUUGGUGGAUGAGACAUCUGUAAGCAUGCUCUAAAACUCUCUCUGGUUCGCUUCAGUCGGUUGCUUCGUUUUCCGUAGCAUGAAUUUAGAGUUCUGUGUGGAAUUGCAUUGGAGAAAUAAUUUCCACUAAUUAGUGUUAUUGUUAUUUUUCAUUAAUGAUUCUAUUUGCUUUUAAUUCAUACGAACCACAUUGCGGAGGUGAAACUGUUCAGUAACUUACAUGCACUUCAUUUUUAUAUUAUUGUCUAAUUGCUUUCAUAGCACAUACUGUAUGUUUCAAUCACCAUCAUACGUUGCUAUUGUAUAUUUAGUGCCAACCUAUUUGUUGGAAUCAAGUGACUAGUCCUUGCACUUUAUUUUGUUUGUAUUUUGUAUACAUAUUUUGUAUGUGAAUAAUUCCUAUUUUGUUGACCUCAGGUGCAAAAGAUUCAACUUAUGACUACAAAUAUUGGAGUUGUAUACAGGUAAUUUGCUUUAUGUCUUCAUCGUUUAUUAUAGAUGACUGAUAUUUUUUCUCAAUGCCAUGCAUGUUACUCAUCUUUAACCAUGUAGAUGACCUUUUUGUUUUUCUUUCUUUUUCUUUUCAUACAGUGGGAUGGGGCCAGAUUCACGUGUCCUGGUAAGGAAAAGCAGAAAGCAAGCGCAGCAGUAUUAUCGACUAUACAAGGUAUUCUAUUAAUAUCUCACUCUUGUAAUCACUUGCCCAUCAUCCUUUGUGUCAUUGAAUGUGUGCUUAUUAUAUAUGUUAGACAACACGAGGAAUUCUUGAUGAUUUAUUUUCCCGUAAGCUGUGUCUUUGGAGUUAUUUAAGAUAUGCUGUUAUUUUCUCCUUAAAUAUUUGAUUAUCCAGAUGGAAUUUGAUGUGCUUGUUCUGUAAGGAAUGUCUUUCUUUAGAUAUGAAAAUAAAAACAGACUGCCUGCUAGCAGAAUCCCAUGACAAUCUUGACUUGCUAGUCUAAUCUAUAUUCUUGAUUAGAACUAGUAAUUUUUUUUUGGGCCUUAUCUUCUAAUUUAUGAUUUGGUUGUAUACUUCACAUUUACUUGUGUUAACUCUUUUCUGCAAUUUCUUUGUUAUUAAUAUUUUGUGAGUGAGCUACUAUACUUCUGCGGUUGAGGUCAGUGAUUGGAUAGAUCAGGUUCAGUGGCAUAUGCCUGAAUGCUGUUCUUAGGAUAGUAUGGUUGAGCCUCAUUUUAGAGAACAUUUGUUUAUAUAAACUAUGAGUUUUGUUUUCAUAGUUGGCGUUAGAUUUCCUCAUCUAGAGAUAUUAUUUCAACUCCUUGAGUAGCUUCAGAGCCAUGUCCAUCGCUACUGUACAUAUUAGUAACGGCAUUCUUCUUCAGUUGAAAAUUGUUAGUAGUACUGAUAGUAUUAUACUUUUUUGAGUGCAGGAGCCUAUUCCUGUUACUCAACUCGUCAGAGAGACUGCAGCUGUCAUGCAGGAGUUCACGCAGUCUGGGUAUUUUCUUGCUAUGUCUAAAUGUUUAACAUUCUUUAAUUUUCUCCCUUUUCCAGCGACCGUUCCUCUCUUCUUCUUCUUCUUCUUUCUCCCCAAACUUGCCAUAUAUCUGGCCUUUCCCUCUUCUUAGUUUGGAAUGUCAAAAACAUUGGCAUGCCUCUAAAUGUUUGAUUGCAAACUGAAAUAUUAUCCAUACCCAUGGUUAAACUAGUUUUAAAAGUUAUUUCUUGACAUGGGGUAUAUGGUUAAAUACAAUUAUACCAGUGCUAUUAUAAAGAUGUGGACUUACAUAUUGCUACUUGCAGUGGUGUAAGGCCAUUUGGAGUUUCUUUACUCGUUGCUGGAUAUGAUGACAAUGGGCCACAGCUGUAUCAGGUAUGCCCCCUAUCUGGUUUUCUUAAUCUUGACUAUUAUUAAGUAGAUGGCUAUUGUAGUUGUUAGUUUAUUUAUGUCAUUUUCUCUAUGACUAUUACGUAAAGUGCAUUUUUACUUUCGGAAGCCACAAUUAUUAAUAUUUGCCAGACCUUUUCUAGUUCUCUUGCUUUACUAGUAUACAUUGUCUUAUGCCAGUUGACAAUUUUCUAAACCUGUAUGGCGCUACAUUCUAAUUACUUUCUCUACUACUAUAUGUUGGUCCCUUUCCUUGUGAGCUAUUGUCUACUUGUUCUUAAGCUUUUAGGAUCUCACACGUGCCUUUCGCUUGUUUUAAAAUCCUUUAUAACAGGUCGACCCAUCAGGAUCUUACUUUUCCUGGAAAGCUUCAGCAAUGGGGAAAAAUGUCUCUAACGCGAAGACUUUUCUCGAGAAAAGGUAACUUAAAGCGUCCGAAACACAAUUUCAAUGCUAUUUCUGCAUGCUUGAAGUUGUUAUCGUGAGUUAUCACAGCCAUUACAUCCAUUGAUUAAAGAAUUUUUAUCAUAACAAAAAAUUUUCAUUCUUAUUUAGAUACACUGAGGAUAUGGAGCUUGAGGAUGCUGUGCACACUGCUAUUCUAACUCUUAAAGAAGGGUAUUAUUGUGUUUUUGCUAUUAAGUUGUAUAAGUUACUCUCUUCUCAUAUCCUUCUUGUUUAUUAUAUUACGAAUCAUUUUGUCCACUACCCGUAGAUUUGAAGGACAAAUUUCUGGGAAGAACAUUGAGAUCGGAGUAAUUAGCUCUGAUCGCAAAUUCAGGUAAUUCCCCUCCAUUUCAGUUUUGGGUUCUGUGGAAACUUAUAGCACACGUUGUCUAUACUUUAUUUGCUACCAUUUGGAUUUCUUCUUUUUCGGUUGUUAUGUUGAUGUAUAUGCAGUUCUCUUGGAAUUGGAUGGUGCAUUUAUUUAUAUUAUUUUCUUUGUAGUGCACAUUAAGUUGUAUUUGAAAUCUCUGACCUCUUUUUUUCCUUUUUCUUUUUAUUGCAUGCAUGAAAUUGCAGAGUUCUGAGCGCUGCUGAAAUUGACGAUUAUUUAGCAGAAGUUGAGUAAUUCAAAUGCACACGCAGCUUUGAGCAGGAGAAUUAGAGAAAUGAAUCCAGCAUUAUAUCCCUGCUUGUUGCUUGAAGAUUCUCUUGAUGUUAAUCAUAUGUAUUUGGAAUUUGGAAUUUAAGAGUGACAUCAUGAAUUUAUCCAUUCUCUUACAGAGACCUGCUUUACUGAGAAAUUCUCCACCUCAUGUUAACUUAAACCUUUUAAAUUUACAUUUGCAAGUUGAUUCUGACCAUGCGAAUAGCAGGGCUUGGAAUUAUUAACCUUUUCUGUCAUGAUAUUCUUCGGCCCUUUUUUGAACUUUUACAGGCCGUAUUGCAUUGAAUGCACAGUUGAUUAGUCAGUUUUUUUAAAUUGAUUUGUUAGAUUUUUCUUUUUAAUGAUAUCAGGGACAUAAAUUUGCAUUCUUCUUUUUAGCAACAUAAAUUUGCAUGUGGCUUUAUCUUGCGCAAUGGGCAUGUAGUUUCGCGGAGGUAUAUAGAUAAUUGUACCUAUAUUUUACCAUGAAGGCAACUUCUUGUAUUGUUUUUUAUUUUUUUGUAUUUUUUAUUUUGUUGCAUUAGAAUUCAAAGCAGCACGAGAACGCGGGGAAAACCCGAGGCAGUGCUCUCUCCGAGGAACCUGUACUGUUGCACAUCCCAAAUCAGACAAUCCAACGUACUUAUAUCAUCAAUUCCUUUUCCACUUCCCCAACGUUUUAUAUUUUUUUAAUCAUUUGCUUGCGCCUCCAAAAAAAGCGUUUAAAUUUUUUUCCCCAGGACCCAAGGUCAGUUGCUCCACCCUGUCCCACACUUUCUCCCCCUUGUAAAGCUCUUCCCCUUAUUAAUUAGUCGUUCAUAGUGAAAACGAAGGAAACAUGGCGUUGCGUUCGUCCUCGUCACCGUCGUGGGCAGUGGAAAUGGCACUGCAAGAGCUCCAGAAACUGGAGUCCGAGCACCCCGACCGCUUCGACUACCUCAAAAGGGAGCUCAAAUCGCUCAUUGCUGAGCCCCUCUUCACUUCCCGCGACCCCACCAUCCCUACUCUUCUACCCGCUUCCUCCGCUGCCACCCAAGGUGAAUAUCGCACAGUGGUGGUAAAACUCUCUGACACUUUUUUUUUUUUAUGUUUUUAAGCAUAAUAUUUAUUUCACAUUGUUUAAGAUAUUUUCUCCCUUUUUUCUUUUGCGAACGUAACAACAAUCGCGCGUAUUCACAUUGUUUAUAUGAAUAAAAGUUAUUUCCUUGAAUCAUCAUCAUCAUCAGUAUUCAGAUUGGUGACAAUCUCUGUACCAAUUAUCAUUCAUAAGGUAUAUCGUUAACCGAUCAUAGUAUGUCAUGCAAAUUUUGUCUUUUUUUGUAUAUUUAUUACAAUGCGAAGAUAUUUGAGUGAAUCUUAUUACUUUUAUGUUUGUUGGAAAUAUUAGGCAGCGAAAACUUACACCCGCCAAUAUGGACACACCAUAUGGCUACAAUGUUGAAUAGCUACGACAAAGAUAAAUAAAAUAAAAAAAUAUAAAAAAACUCUGAUUUUACGUGAAACAAUUAUUUUUUUUU
This 33573-nucleotide long non-coding RNA is filed under the name Ananas comosus (pineapple). RNAcentral's name for it is "long non-coding RNA (ACOM_LNC012876)". Lineage: Eukaryota; Viridiplantae; Streptophyta; Magnoliopsida; Poales; Bromeliaceae. The record is from RNAcentral.